Molecule: ribosomal RNA, 1366 nt
Filed under: uncultured bacterium
Lineage: Bacteria
Description: bacterial SSU rRNA
Rfam family: Bacterial small subunit ribosomal RNA
Source: RNAcentral
GACGAACGCUGGCGGCGUGCUUAACACAUGCAAGCCGAACGGAAAGGCCCCCACCUUGGUGGGGGUGCUCGAGUGGCGAACGGGUGAGUAACACGUGGGUGAUCUGCCCUGUACUUCGGGAUAAGCUUGGGAAACUGGGUCUAAUACCGGAUAGGACCAUGGUUUAGUGUCUCAUGGUGGAAAGAUUAUUGUUUUGGUGCAGGAUGAGCUCGCGGCCUAUCAGCUUGUUGGUGGGGUAAUGGCCUACCAAGGCGUCGACGGGUAGCCGGCCUGAGAGGGUGGACGACCACAUUGGGACUGAGAUACGGCCCAGACUCCUACGGGAGGCAGCAGUGGGGAAUAUUGCACAAUGGGCGCAAGCCUGAUGCAGCGACGCCGCGUGGGGGAUGACGGCCUUCGGGUUGUAAACUCCUUUCGUUAGGAACGAAGCCGCACUUUUUUUGGGCGUGGUGACGGUACCUUUGUUAAGAAGCACCGGCUAACUACGUGCCAGCAGCCGCGGUAAUACGUAGGGUGCGAGCGUUGUCCGGAAUUACUGGGCGUAAAGAGCUCGUAGGUGGUUUGUUGCGUCGUCUGUGAAAUUCCGGGGCUUAACUUCGGGGUGGCAGGCGAUACGGGCAUAACUAGAGUGCUGUAGGGGAGACUGGAAUUCCUGGUGUAGCGGUGGAAUGCGCAGAUAUCAGGAGGAACACCGAUGGCGAAGGCAGGUCUCUGGGCAGUAACUGACGCUGAGGAGCGAAAGCAUGGGGAGCGAACAGGAUUAGAUACCCUGGUAGUCCAUGCUGUAAACGGUGGGCGUUAGGUGUGGGGACCGGUUUGGUUUCUGUGCCGUAGCUAACGCAUUAAGCGCCCCGCCUGGGGAGUACGGCCGCAAGGCUAAAACUCAAAGGAAUUGACGGGGGCCCGCACAAGCGGCGGAGCAUGUGGAUUAAUUCGAUGCAACGCGAAGAACCUUACCUGGGUUUGACAUGCACCAGACGGUUGUAGAGAUACGUACCUCCCUUUGUGGUUGGUGUGCAGGUGGUGCAUGGUUGUCGUCAGCUCGUGUCGUGAGAUGUUGGGUUAAGUCCCGCAACGAGCGCAACCCUUGUCUUAUGUUGCCAGCACGUUUUGGGUGGGGACUCAUGAGAGACUGCCGGGGUUAACUCGGAGGAAGGUGGGGAUGACGUCAAAUCAUCAUGCCCUUUAUGCCCAGGGCUUCACACAUGCUACAAUGGUUAGUACAACGCGCUGCGAGCCUGUGAGGGUGAGCGAAUCGCUGAAAGCUAAUCUCAGUUCGGAUUGGGGUCUGCAACUCGACCCCAUGAAGUCGGAGUCGCUAGUAAUCGCAGAUCAGCAAUGCUGCGGUGAAUACGUUCCCGGGCCU